Molecule: long non-coding RNA, 393 nt
Filed under: Elaeis guineensis (African oil palm)
Lineage: Eukaryota; Viridiplantae; Streptophyta; Magnoliopsida; Arecales; Arecaceae
Description: long non-coding RNA (EGUI_LNC043714)
Source: RNAcentral
UUGCAAAAGAAGCACUCUUCCUGACUUUGAUUAGCCUUAAACUUGGGUUUCUUGGACUGACUCCCAGCACCAAGCACCUUCUUAUUCUUCUUUUUUUUUUCUUUCUUAAAGGGACGAUGACUAUCCGAAGAAGAUCCUCCCACUAGAUUCACUAUCUCCUUGUAGAGCUAGUGAUCUUUCUCAAAAGUCUGUAGCAAUCCCAACAGAUUGUGAUAGUUGACUAUAGGCUUCAUCAUUCUAAAAUGAUUGAGGAACGACAGGUAGGACUUGGAUAGAGAGUUCAAGAUCACAUUCUUCCCCAGCUAUUCAUAUAAAGGUAAGUCAAGUUUGCUCAAUUUUUCAAUCUACUCGAUCAUAUACAAUACAUGAUCGGUAACAGAUGCACCAUCCCUC